UACGAGGGGUGCUAACGUUAUUCGGAAUUACUGGGCGUAAAGGGUGUGUAGACGGCAUAUUAAGUCAAUUGUUAAAUUCUUCGGCUUAACCGGAGACCUGCGGUUGAAACUGAUGUGCUAGAGGAUGGAAGAGAGAAGUGGAAUUCUCGGAGUAGCGGUAAAAUGCGUAGAUCUCGAGAGGAACACCGAUGGCGAAGGCAGCUUCUUGGUCCAUUUCUGACGUUGAGACACGAAAGCGUGGGGAGCAAACAGGAUUAGAUACCCCCGUA
RNAcentral lists this ribosomal RNA (269 nucleotides) under uncultured prokaryote. Its description in RNAcentral is "partial 16S ribosomal RNA". It matches the Rfam family "Bacterial small subunit ribosomal RNA", at positions 524 to 792 of the family's 1533-position model. The record is from RNAcentral.